Hordeum vulgare subsp. vulgare (domesticated barley) is the source of this 1294-nucleotide long non-coding RNA. RefSeq lists it as uncharacterized. The transcript is spliced from 2 exons. The record is from RefSeq and is a predicted model, not a curated record. NCBI's taxonomy places the organism in Eukaryota, Viridiplantae, Streptophyta, Magnoliopsida, Poales, Poaceae.
AUCAGGUGGGCUACGUGGUUGGGUUGCAGCCGGGCCAAAUCUUCUCAUAUUUUUAGUAGAUAGUUCUUCUCGCGACGGCUGCUGACCGGCUUCCAUGAUGUAGAGGAGGCCAUCCCCGAAGUUGAGGCAGUGGAGCUACGUCGCGCGCUUGUGAACAUUCAAGGGAAGCGUCACGAGGUCACGGGCGAGCGCGACUGGCUGGGGAAGGAGUUGGAGGUUGUGUGCGUGGUGACGGAGCAGUUGAAGUCCCCCCCAUGUGGCGGAGUUGGAGCGGCUUGUGGCGGCUCUCCACUAGAAGGCGGCGGACAAGAAGGACGCAUCGAGGACAUCGGCUACAAGGGGGCAGGAGGCGGAAACUCUUCGUGUUAAGGUGGUUCCACUCGGUGGGGAGCUUCGCAAGGUGGAGGCGGGCAAGGCAAAGAUGGAGAGGUAGGCGGCCGCCGUAGUCAAGCUCUUCCACGAGGUGGACGAGUCCUUCAUCGCCCACUUCCCAGAGACUCAGCAGCGGGCGGAGCGAGCCAUCACGCAGCACCGGGCAAAGCUCUGUCGGGGUAGCAUAGAAGUGGAUGAGAGCACAAGUUGGGUGAUGGAGGACGUGGCCCUUGCCUGUGAGGUCUGCCUGACCCACAUGAAGGCGUUCAUGAAGCGGUUCCACACGGAGAGUGAGGGCCUCAUCGAGGCUCUCUCUCUUGGUCAGAUGUCCUGGGGUAUUUUGAUGCGCGGACGGUGUUGGUAGCGCGAGGUGGCACAUGGAUGGACUUGUCCUUCACCCUCUCCUGGUAUUCAGGCAUCAACCUUGGCCAGCUCGCGAGUGUACAGUUGGAGGUGCGAACCGACUUGGCAUAGCACGACGAUGCCAUCACCCUUCGGGCCAACAAGCUUCCUAGUUACGCGUCUUUGAACGGGCCUGUCACCGAGGAUCAGUUUGGUGUCCCUCUUGGCUACGAUAAUGAGUACGACAACGAAGAGGUCGGCUCCAGCUCGGGGGCACCUGUUGCCGAAGACAUGGCGGGCGAGGUAUACACCGGCGGGGCUGCGGCAUCCUCUACGAGAAAUGCGGUGCCGCUGACUGGUAACGCAGAAGUGUGCCAGCAGACUCCACCGACGAGAGGGGCGACUGUGGGCCAACAACCUCCGUUGGCGGGCGAUGUGGACAAGGGCUAACAGCCUCCGCCAGCCGUCUAGGGCCUUUCUUUUUCCUGCUUUCACUCUUUAACUUUUGUAAUAAACAAGUACACACACUUGGGGUGUAUGGUUAUUGUAAUGCACUCUUGGCCUCGUGUCGCUUUCUUCA